UCAGAAAAUAUAUUAGAUUUAUUCUUCUGUCAUACUGACAAUAAUACAUUUACAUUUUAUGAUAUAACAAAGAAUUCACAAAACAACAAACAGGGGACAACAUUAUAAAACGGUCGUGCACUUUGUUCAAAAGAAUGUCUCCUUUCCUUAAUGUGACACGCCCUCCUUCCCUUAAUGUGACACGCCCUCCUUCCCUUGUGAUACGGCCCUCCUUCCCUUAAUGUGACACGCCCUCCUUCCCUUACUGUGACACGCCCUCCUUCCCUUAAUGUGACACGCCCUCCUUCCCUUAAUGUGAUACGCCCUCCUUCCCUUAAUGUGACACGCCCUCCUUCCCUUGUGAUACGCCCUCCUUCCCUUAAUGUGACACGCCCUCCUUCCCUUAAUGUGACACGCCCUCCUUCUCUUAAUGUGACACGCCCUCCUUCCCUUAAUGUGGCACGCCCUACUUCCCUUAAUGUGACACGCCCUCCUUCCCUUGUGAUACACCCUCCUUCCCUUAAUGUGACACGCCCUCCUUCCCUUAAUGUGACACGCCCUCCUUCCCUUAAUGUGACACGCCCCCUUCACUUAAUGUGACACGCCCUCCUUCCCUUAAUGUGACACGCCCUCCUUCCCUUAAUGUGAUACGCCCUCCUUCCCUUAAUGUGACACGCCCUCCUUCCCUUAAUGUGACACACCCUCCUUCCCUUAAUGUGACACGCCCUCCUUCCCUUAAUGUGACACGCCCUCCUUCCCUUAAUGUGACACGCCCUCCUUUCCUUAAUGUGACACGGAGUAAGUGGUAUAAUAUCAGUAACACAGUUGGUGAGCUACACAGUUGCGACCUUGUCUCAUUGCGGCAACUCCAACGGGUUUCUGCUCUCUUGCCAAACUCCUUAUAGAAUCGUGAAUACGUUUGAAACAGAUUGGCACCCAGACUAGAGAAGGACUUAUUGUGACUGAAGUCAGUGAUACCUGAAAAAGGUGUACUGAUGGCUGUGUUUUAGACGUUGUGAUGCAUUGUAAGGAAAUGACGACAGACUGACUGAUCUAUAUAUAUAAAACAGGGAGUAGUUAUUUAAAAAAGAUAAUUUGCAGAUCAGUCAGUCUGAAAUUGAUCGUGAACAUGCCUUAGAAAAAUCUGUAUUCAGUCUCUGGGGCAUUGGAAGCACUGUGGCCGGUUGCCAGAGAUUCAGAACCUGUAUUGAGUCUCUGGGGCAUUGGAAGCACUGUGGCCGGUUGCCAGAGAUUCAGAAUCUGUAUUCAGUCUCUGGGGCAUUGGAAGCACUGUGGCCGGUUGCCAGAGAUUCAGAAUCUGUAUUCAGUCUCUGGGGCAUUGGAAGCACUGUGGCCGGUUGCCAGAGAUUCAGAAUCUGUAUUCAUCUCUGGGACAUUGGAAGCACUGUGGCUGGUUGCCAGAGAUUCAGAAUCUGUAUUCAGUCUCUGGGGCAUUGGAAGCACUGUGG
This is a long non-coding RNA of Oncorhynchus tshawytscha (Chinook salmon), 1448 nucleotides long. The record is from Ensembl. Lineage: Eukaryota; Metazoa; Chordata; Actinopteri; Salmoniformes; Salmonidae.